AAUCGUAAGGUUUGCUGGAGGUAUCAGAAGUGCGAAUGCUGACAUGAGUAACGACAAAGGGGGUGAAAAACCUCCUCGCCGGAAGACCAAGGGUUCCUGUCCAACGUUAAUCGGGGCAGGGUGAGUCGACCCCUAAGGUGAGGCCGAAAGGCGUAAUCGAUGGGAAACGGGUUAAUAUUCCCGUACUUCUGACUAUUGCGAUGGGGGGACGGAGAAGGCUAGGUGGGCCAGGCGACGGUUGUCCUGGUUCAAGUGCGUAGGCUUGAGAGUUAGGUAAAUCCGGCUCUCUCUAAGGCUGAGACACGACGUCGAGCUACUACGGUAGUGAAGUCAUUGAUGCCAUGCUUCCAGGAAAAGCCUCUAAGCUUCAGAUAGUCAGGAAUCGUACCCCAAACCGACACAGGUGGUCGGGUAGAGAAUACCAAGGCGCUUGAGAGAACUCGGGUGAAGGAACUAGGCAAAAUGGUACCGUAACUUCGGGAGAAGGUACGCUCUUGAUGGUGAAGUCCCUCGCGGAUGGAGCUGACGAGAGUCGCAGAUACCAGGUGGCUGCAACUGUUUAUUAAAAACACAGCACUGUGCAAAAUCGCAAGAUGACGUAUACGGUGUGACGCCUGCCCGGUGCCGGAAGGUUAAUUGAUGGGGUUAGCGCAAGCGAAGCUCUUGAUCGAAGCCCCGGUAAACGGCGGCCGUAACUAUAACGGUCCUAAGGUAGCGAAAUUCCUUGUCGGGUAAGUUCCGACCUGCACGAAUGGCGUAAUGAUGGCCACGCUGUCUCCACCCGAGACUCAGUGAAAUUGAAAUCGCUGUGAAGAUGCAGUGUACCCGCGGCUAGACGGAAAGACCCCGUGAACCUUUACUACAGCUUGGCACUGAACAUUGAACCUACAUGUGUAGGAUAGGUGGGAGGCUAUGAAGACGUGACGCCAGUUGCGUUGGAGCCGUCCUUGAAAUACCACCCUUGUAUGUUUGAUGUUCUAACUUAGACCCAUUAUCUGGGUUGAGGACAGUGCCUGGUGGGUAGUUUGACUGGGGCGGUCUCCUCCCAAAGAGUAACGGAGGAGCACGAAGGUGGGCUAAUCACGGUUGGACAUCGUGAGGUUAGUGCAAUGGCAUAAGCCCGCUUAACUGCGAGAAUGACGGUUCGAGCAGGUGCGAAAGCAGGUCAUAGUGAUCCGGUGGUUCUGUAUGGAAGGGCCAUCGCUCAACGGAUAAAAGGUACUCCGGGGAUAACAGGCUGAUACCGCCCAAGAGUUCAUAUCGACGGCGGUGUUUGGCACCUCGAUGUCGGCUCAUCACAUCCUGGGGCUGAAGUCGGUCCCAAGGGUAUGGCUGUUCGCCAUUUAAAGUGGUACGCGAGCUGGGUUUAGAACGUCGUGAGACAGUUCGGUCCCUAUCUGCCGUGGGCGUUGGAAGAUUGAAGGGGGCUGCUCCUAGUACGAGAGGACCGGAGUGGACGAACCUCUGGUGUUCGGGUUGUGUCGCCAGACGCAUUGCCCGGUAGCUAAGUUCGGAAUUGAUAAGCGCUGAAAGCAUCUAAGCGCGAAGCGAGCCCUGAGAUGAGUCUUCCCUGACAGUUUAACUGUCCUAAAGGGUUGUUCGAGACUAGAACGUUGAUAGGCAGGGUGUGUAAGCGUUGUGAGGCGUUGAGCUAACCUGUACUAAUUGCCCGUGAGGCUUAACCAUACAACACCCAAGG
Molecule: ribosomal RNA, 1699 nt
Filed under: Vibrio cholerae
Lineage: Bacteria; Pseudomonadati; Pseudomonadota; Gammaproteobacteria; Vibrionales; Vibrionaceae
Description: partial 23S ribosomal RNA
Rfam family: Bacterial large subunit ribosomal RNA
Source: RNAcentral